GCCGGGCAUGGUGGCUCAUGUCUGUAAUCCCAGCACUUUAGGAGGCAGAGGUGGGUGGAUUACCUGAGGUCAGGAGUUCUAGACCAGCCUGGCCAACAUGGUGAAACCCCAUCUCUA
Non-coding RNA from Pan troglodytes (chimpanzee), 117 nucleotides. It matches the Rfam family "Metazoan signal recognition particle RNA". Rfam says of the family: The signal recognition particle (SRP) is a universally conserved ribonucleoprotein. It is involved in the co-translational targeting of proteins to membranes. The eukaryotic SRP consists of a 300-nucleotide 7S RNA and six proteins: SRPs 72, 68, 54, 19, 14, and 9. The record is from Rfam. NCBI's taxonomy places the organism in Eukaryota, Metazoa, Chordata, Mammalia, Primates, Hominidae.